RNAcentral lists this ribosomal RNA (253 nucleotides) under uncultured bacterium. RNAcentral's name for it is "partial 16S ribosomal RNA". It matches the Rfam family "Bacterial small subunit ribosomal RNA", at positions 524 to 776 of the family's 1533-position model. The record is from RNAcentral.
UACGUAGGUGGCAAGCGUUGUCCGGAUUUACUGGGCGUAGAGAGCGCGCAGGCGGUCGUUCAAGUCGCGUGUGAAAGCCCCCGGCUCAACUGGGGAGGGUCACGCGAUACUGAUCGACUCGAAGGCAGGAGAGGGAAGUGGAAUUCCCGGUGUAGUGGUGAAAUGCGUAGAUAUCGGGAGGAACACCAGUGGCGAAGGCGACUUCCUGGCCUGUUCUUGACGCUGAGGCGCGAAAGCUAGGGGAGCAAACGGG